GAGGGUAUAGCUCAGUGGUAGAGCGUGCAGGAGGUCCUGGGUUCAAUCCUCAGUACCUCCA
This 61-nucleotide transfer RNA is filed under the name Camelus bactrianus (Bactrian camel). It matches the Rfam family "tRNA". From Rfam's summary of the family: Transfer RNA (tRNA) molecules are approximately 80 nucleotides in length. Their secondary structure includes four short double-helical elements and three loops (D, anti-codon, and T loops). Lineage: Eukaryota; Metazoa; Chordata; Mammalia; Artiodactyla; Camelidae. The record is from Rfam by way of RNAcentral. RNAcentral also lists the same sequence under 1 other name.